RNAcentral lists this ribosomal RNA (465 nucleotides) under uncultured bacterium. RNAcentral describes it as "partial 16S ribosomal RNA". It matches the Rfam family "Bacterial small subunit ribosomal RNA", at positions 339 to 795 of the family's 1533-position model. The record is from RNAcentral.
CUACGGGUCGCAGCAGUGAGGAAUUUUGCGCAAUGGGCGAAAGCCUGACGCAGCAACGCCGCGUGAGUGAUGAAGGCCUUCGGGUCGUAAAGCUCUGUCAAGUGGGAAGAACCUAUGUAAUGUUAAUAUCAUUAUAUACUGACGGUACCACUGAAGGAAGCACCGGCUAACUCCGUGCCAGCAGCCGCGGUAAUACGGGGGGUGCAAGCGUUAUUCGGAAUCAUUGGGCGUAAAGGGCACGUAGGCGGCCUGGUAAGUCAGAUGUGAAAGCCCGGGGCUUAACCCCGGAAGUGCAUUUGGUACUGUCAGGCUUGAGUAUGGGAGAGGGAAGUGGAAUUCCUGGUGUAGAGGUGAAAUUCGUAGAUAUCAGGAGGAACACCGGUGGCGAAGGCGACUUCCUGGACCAAUACUGACGCUGAGGUGCGAAGGCGUGGGUAGCAAACAGGAUUAGAUACCCGAGUAGUC